RNAcentral lists this ribosomal RNA (484 nucleotides) under uncultured bacterium. RNAcentral describes it as "partial 16S ribosomal RNA". It matches the Rfam family "Bacterial small subunit ribosomal RNA", at positions 30 to 507 of the family's 1533-position model. The record is from RNAcentral.
AUUGAACGCUGGCGGCAGGCCUAACACAUGCAAGUCGAGCGGAUGAAGGGAGCUUGCUCCUGGAUUCAGCGGCGGACGGGUGAGUAAUGCCUAGGAAUCUGCCUGGUAUUGGGGGAUAACGUCCGGAAACGGGCGCUAAUACCGCAUACGUCCUGAGGGAGAAAGUGGGGGAUCUUCGGACCUCACGCUAUCUGAUGAGCCUAGGUCGGAUUAGCUAGUUGGUGGGGUAAAGGCCUACCAAGGCGACGAUCCGUAACUGAUCUGAGAGGAUGAUCAGUCACACUGGAACUGAGACACGGUCCAGACUCCUACGGGAGGCAGCAGUGGGGAAUAUUGGACAAUGGGCGAAAGCCUGAUCCAGCCAUGCCGCGUGUGUGAAGAAGGUCUUCGGAUUGUAAAGCACUUUUAGUUGGGAGGAAGGGCAGUAAGUUAAUACCUGGCUGUUUUGACGUUACCAACAGAAUAAGCACCGGCUAACUUCGUG